UUACUGAGCCGUUACAACAUGGAUUGCUAAUCGUGUCAGGAUAGAAAUAUAGCAGCACUACGCUUGAUUCUUGUGUGUAACGGUUUUUUAUUUCAUU
Molecule: signal recognition particle RNA, 97 nt
Filed under: Mycoplasmataceae bacterium
Lineage: Bacteria; Bacillati; Mycoplasmatota; Mollicutes; Mycoplasmatales; Mycoplasmataceae
Description: signal recognition particle sRNA small type
Rfam family: Bacterial small signal recognition particle RNA
About the family: The signal recognition particle (SRP) is a universally conserved ribonucleoprotein involved in the co-translational targeting of proteins to membranes. Archaeal SRP consists of a 7S RNA and homologues of the eukaryotic SRP19 and SRP54 proteins. In most bacteria, the SRP consists of a 4.5S RNA and the Ffh protein (a homologue of the eukaryotic SRP54 protein).
Source: RNAcentral